AGCGAAGCGGGAAGAGCUCAAAUUUAUAAUCUGGCACCUUCGGUGUCCGAGUUGUAAUCUCUAGAAGUGUUUUCCGCGUUGGACCGCACACAAGUCUGUUGGAAUACAGCGGCAUAGUGGUGAGACCCCCGUAUAUGGUGCGGACGCCCAACGCUUUGUGAUACACUUUCGAAGAGUCGAGUUGUUUGGGAAUGCAGCUCAAAUUGGGUGGUAAAUUCCAUCUAAAGCUAAAUAUUGGCGAGAGACCGAUAGCGAACAAGUACCGUGAGGGAAAGAUGAAAAGCACUUUGGAAAGAGAGUUAACAGUACGUGAAAUUGUUGGAAGGGAAACGCUUGAAGUCAGACUUGCUUGCCGAGCAAUCGGUUUGCAGGCCAGCAUCAGUUUUCCGGGGUGGAUAAUGGUAGAGAGAAGGUAGCAGUUUCGGCUGUGUUAUAGCUCUCUGCUGGAUACACCUUGGGGGACUGAGGAACGCAGUGUGCCUUACGGCGGAUUUCUCGAG
RNAcentral lists this ribosomal RNA (500 nucleotides) under Rhodotorula sp. RNAcentral's name for it is "partial large subunit ribosomal RNA". It matches the Rfam family "Eukaryotic large subunit ribosomal RNA", at positions 92 to 590 of the family's 3401-position model. The record is from RNAcentral. Lineage: Eukaryota; Fungi; Basidiomycota; Microbotryomycetes; Sporidiobolales; Sporidiobolaceae.